Molecule: non-coding RNA, 115 nt
Filed under: human gut metagenome
Description: THF riboswitch
Rfam family: THF (Tetrahydrofolate) riboswitch aptamer
About the family: THF riboswitch presents a pseudoknot that joins P1-P2 and the loop of P3 and two THF binding.
Source: RNAcentral
GCAGAGUAGGAACAGCGCGUUAAGUGCGGUGGGACGGGAUGUUGCUCACCGACGAAACAGCCGUUUUCUCACAAAGAGAAAAUCGGGUGUGCGGUGCUGUCUCCGCGUCCGCUGC